CCUACGGGGGGCUGCAGUAAGGAAUAUUGGUCAAUGGGCGGAAGCCUGAACCAGCCAUGCCGCGUGCAGGAAGACGGCCCUACGGGUUGUAAACUGCUUUUAUUCGGGAAUAAACCCUUUUACGUGUAAGAGGCUGAAUGUACCGAAGGAAUAAGGAUCGGCUAACUCCGUGCCAGCAGCCGCGGUAAUACGGAGGAUCCAAGCGUUAUCCGGAUUUAUUGGGUUUAAAGGGUGCGUAGGCGGCUUAUUAAGUCAGGGGUGAAAGACGGUGGCUC
Molecule: ribosomal RNA, 275 nt
Filed under: uncultured bacterium
Lineage: Bacteria
Description: partial 16S ribosomal RNA
Rfam family: Bacterial small subunit ribosomal RNA
Source: RNAcentral